AAAAAGGCAAACCGUGGGUUUCCAUACCAAUGUUUAAUUGUCCGUCUUAUAUGAAAUUUUUUUAUAAUUAGUAUUUUCAUUGUUGUUAUAUGAUAAAACAUGAUAAAUACUUUAUGCGUGACUUAUCUUUUUAUUUUUUUUCAAUUAAGACGGACGGUCAAACAUUGGACACGAAAACUAGGGUUUGUCUUUUU
Molecule: non-coding RNA, 194 nt
Organism: Oryza barthii
Lineage: Eukaryota; Viridiplantae; Streptophyta; Magnoliopsida; Poales; Poaceae
Source: Rfam